RNAcentral lists this ribosomal RNA (322 nucleotides) under uncultured eukaryote. RNAcentral's name for it is "partial 18S ribosomal RNA". It matches the Rfam family "Eukaryotic small subunit ribosomal RNA", at positions 1470 to 1796 of the family's 1831-position model. The record is from RNAcentral.
CCCUUAGAUGUUCUGGGCCGCACGCGUGCUACACUGAGUGGAUCAGCGGGUCAGGUUGCGCGAAAGUGUUUCCUAAUCUUGAAAUCCGCUCGUGAUGGGGAUUGACGGUUGCAAUUUUCCGUCAUGAACGAGGAAUACCUUGUAAGCGCGGGUCAUCAUCCCGCGCUGAAUACGUCCCUGCCCUUUGUACACACCGCCCGUCGCUCCUACCGAUUGAGUGGUCCGGUGAGGCUUUGGGAUCUGAGCGGAAAGAGCGUUUCGCUGUUUCUGCUCGGAAAACUCAGUCGAACCUUAUCAUUUAGGGGAAGGAGAAGUCGUAACA